Molecule: long non-coding RNA, 1633 nt
Filed under: Mus musculus (house mouse)
Lineage: Eukaryota; Metazoa; Chordata; Mammalia; Rodentia; Muridae
Description: long non-coding RNA chr7:16412062-16413695
Source: RNAcentral
UUGAUUGGACUCACUGUCCUCCCUGUCAGCAAUGCCUGUCCUUUUCUCGUGGUCAGCCAUUCUAAGGCUCUGUGGUCCAAUGUAGAUUAGUUGAAGAGGAGACUUGUCAGCAGGAUUGCUUGAGAGAGGAUGGCCACAAUGAAAGAGACACUUGCAGUCGGGUAGUCACCAGUGUCUUCCGAGAAGAACCAGCUGCUGCUUCUGCCCACAUGUCUUCCCUAGGUCACAUGGCAACUUUUCCAGGCCUCUCCAUGUUGUAUGCAUUGGUACUACUGUACUGUCUUGUUCUAUGGGUUCUGGACUGCCCAGGCCAGCCUCAGCGUUGCUCUGAGGCUGAGGAUGACUUUGCGUUUCUGAUCCUUCUACUUCUACCUCCCAUGCUAGGAUUGGACACAGUGCCUUUCAGUGCGCUGGUGCCUGCCGCCUUGGGCUUCCUGGACAAGUAUAGCUUCCACUGUCUUGCUUACUGUAUGGCUGCUCCUUAAUGCAGGGCUUUGUUGUUUAUCAUUAACCUCCCACCCGUGAAGUCCUAUAAGGCUAUCCCAUUGUCCAGAUGAGAGCCCAUUCUAGGAAAGAGGUAGGGCUAGUUGUGUUAUCACUUGGUCUGUAGGCAGAAGCAUAUUGUCCAGUCACUGUGCCUGCUUGAGAACCCCAGAUCUGAGUAUUUUUGCCACACUCAUGCUGUAUGAGCCCUGUAAGCUAAGGGCCCUGAGGGAGAGGGGGGCCCUAAGAAGCUGUGACUUAGGUUGUCCACAUGUAUUCGUUGACCUAAGAGGAGCUGCACUCAGGCCCCAAAAUGCAAAUUUGAAUACUUGGGAAGCUUUGUUCAGGAGGCUGGAGGCAGUCUUGCAGGAGGCAUGGUGUUGUGCUCUUCCCAUUACUAUCUGUUGACCAGCCAGUCUCCCAGGAUGGCUGGUUCUUCUUCUGGGGUGGGGGUGGGGCUCCUGGCAGUGGCUCUGGCUGCAAGCAGGCAGGUGAAGUGCUAGUUGAGGUCUUUGCAGCCCAGCUGUAGUGUUUCCCUCUGGGCACCUGUCUCAAGAGGGUUUGGCAGGUCUAUAUUGAGAUGAUUAGUGCAGUGGGGCUUCUCCCACUCUUCUUGGGGGAUUAUGUCACAGUCUAUUAAGCAUGCUCCCUUGGUGUUUAAUCCCCCCCUGACAUGGAUUUUUCUGGCAGCCUGUUAAAAUGCCUUUUCGUAAAUCUCCCAGCUGUUUUCUGUCCGUGGCCCUUGGGAUAUCUGCCUUCUCCCAGUGGGCUUCCUUUCUUCUUUCUAGUGACUAGUGUGAAGGAAGUAGUCAGGCCUGAUGCUUACACAGGUCUCUUAGGUGGGAAGCGUCUGCAGCAUGACCAUGACAGAGAUCAUAUGGGGCUCUAGGGGCCGAGGGCAGGGACCAGCUGGUUGGCUUUGCAGAUGUCGUGACCAGUCUGGUGUCACCUUACCAGUACCUCUUCUAAGUCACAAGCAGGUUUUUUAAAUUUAUUUUUUAAAUUAUUUUGGCAUUUUGAGACAGGAUUUUGUUCUGUAAGUGAGGCUGGCCCUAAACAAGAGACCUUUUAACCUUAGCCUCUUGAGUGUGGAUGCCAUGCCUGCUUAGAUUUCCAAAAACUUUCUAAUUUUUAGCAUCUCCAUUCCAGG